CCUACGGGGGACUGCAGUGGGGAAUAUUGGGCAAUGGGCGCAAGCCUGACCCAGCAACGCCGCGUGAAGGAAGACGGCUUUCUGGUUGUAAACUUCUUUUAAUAGGGAAGAGCAGUAUACGUUACCUCUUGCAUAGUCCACGGCUAACUACUUUCCAGCAGCCGCGGUAAUACGUAGGUGGCAUGCGUUGUCCGGAUUUACUGGUUGUAAAGGGCUUGCUGCCGGGAAGACAAGUCAGUUGUGAAAUCCCGCGGCUAAACAGCGGAACUGCAUUUGAAACUGUUUUUCUUGAGUACAGGGGAGGUCAUCGGAAUUCGUGGAGUAGCGGUGAAAUGAGUAGAUAUAAGGAAGAACAACAGUGGAGAAGGCGGAUGACGGGACGGCAACUGACGGGGAGGCGCGAAAGCGUGGGGAGCAAACAGGAUUAGAUACCCUUGUA
This 439-nucleotide ribosomal RNA is filed under the name uncultured bacterium. Its description in RNAcentral is "partial 16S ribosomal RNA". It matches the Rfam family "Bacterial small subunit ribosomal RNA", at positions 338 to 792 of the family's 1533-position model. The record is from RNAcentral.